AGCAGCCGCGGUAAUUCCAGCUCCAAUAGCGUAUAUUAAAGUUGUUGCAGUUAAAAAGCUCGUAGUUGAAUUUCGGGGUUAGUAGGUUGGUCAUGCCUCUGGUAUGUACUGGUCUCACUGAUUCCUCCUUCCUGAUGAACCGUAAUGCCAUUAAUUUGGUGUUGCGGGGAAUUUGGACUGUUACUUUGAAAAAUUAGAGUGUUUAAAGCAAGCUAACGCUUGAAUACAUUAGCAUGGAAUAAUGAAAUAGGACGUUCGAUCCUAUUUUGUUGGUUUCUAGGAUUGACGUAAUGAUUAAUAGGGAUAGUUGGGGGCAUUAGUAUUCAAUUGUCAGAGGUGAAAUUCUUGGAUUUAUUGAAGACUAACUACUGCGAAAGCAUUUGCCAAGGAUGUUUUCAUUAAUCAAGAACGAAAGUUAGGGGAUCGAAGACGAUCAGAUACCGUCGUAGUCUUAACCAUAAACUAUGCCGACUAGGGAUCGGAUGAUGUUAAUUUUUAAUGACUCAUUCGGCGCCUUAUA
RNAcentral lists this ribosomal RNA (520 nucleotides) under uncultured Glomus. RNAcentral describes it as "SSU rRNA". It matches the Rfam family "Eukaryotic small subunit ribosomal RNA", at positions 569 to 1092 of the family's 1831-position model. The record is from RNAcentral. Lineage: Eukaryota; Fungi; Glomeromycota; Glomeromycetes; Glomerales; Glomeraceae.